Molecule: ribosomal RNA, 496 nt
Filed under: uncultured bacterium
Lineage: Bacteria
Description: partial 16S ribosomal RNA
Rfam family: Bacterial small subunit ribosomal RNA
Source: RNAcentral
GAUGAACGCUGGCGGCGUGCCUAAUACAUGCAAGUCGAGCGAACAGACGAGGAGCUUGCUCCUCUGACGUUAGCGGCGGACGGGUGAGUAACACGUGGAUAACCUACCUAUAAGACUGGGAUAACUUCGGGAAACCGGAGCUAAUACCGGAUAAUAUAUUGAACCGCAUGGUUCAAUAGUGAAAGACGGUUUUGCUGUCACUUAUAGAUGGAUCCGCGCCGCAUUAGCUAGUUGGUAAGGUAACGGCUUACCAAGGCAACGAUGCGUAGCCGACCUGAGAGGGUGAUCGGCCACACUGGAACUGAGACACGGUCCAGACUCCUACGGAAGGCAGAAGUAGGAAUCUUCCGCAAUGGGCGAAAGCCUGACGGAGCAACGCCGCGUGAGUGAUGAAGGUCUUCGGAUCGUAAAACUCUGUUAUUAGGGAAGAACAAAUGUGUAAGUAACUAUGCACGUCUUGACGGUACCUAAUCAGAAAGCCACGGCUAACUACGUG